AUCAUACUUUAUGGACAUGAACUUCUUUUGCUUCAGUGAUGGAAGGCAUUGCAAAUGAAACUCAAAUUCUUGCUUCAAAACCAACUAGAUCAUAGAAUUUGCUUAACACAGUAGCACGCAUCCUUUGUUUUUUCUUUGUUGUAUCAGUGCCAUUGGAUUGAUGUUUUCAGAAUGAACAAAACUGGCAUUGCAUAACCGCUAAAA
This is a long non-coding RNA of Populus euphratica (Euphrates poplar), 204 nucleotides long. RefSeq lists it as uncharacterized. The record is from RefSeq and is a predicted model, not a curated record. The transcript is spliced from 2 exons. NCBI's taxonomy places the organism in Eukaryota, Viridiplantae, Streptophyta, Magnoliopsida, Malpighiales, Salicaceae.